This 352-nucleotide ribosomal RNA is filed under the name uncultured bacterium. RNAcentral describes it as "bacterial SSU rRNA". It matches the Rfam family "Bacterial small subunit ribosomal RNA", at positions 1042 to 1392 of the family's 1533-position model. The record is from RNAcentral.
CGCAGAUGGUUGUCGUCAGCUCGUGUCGUGAGAUGUAAGGUUAAGUCCUUGAACGAGCGCAACCCCUUUCGCCAGUUGCAAACCAGCAAUGGCGCACCCUGACGAUACUGCCAGCUAAAAGUUGGAGGAAGGAGGGGAUGACGUCAAAUCCUCAUGGCCUUUAUGUCCAGGGCUACACACAUGCGACAAUGGUCGGUACAACGGGUUGCAACACCGCGAGGUGAAGCCAAUCCCUAAAAACCGGCCUCAGUUCAGAUUGCAGACUGCAAUUCGUCUACAUGAAGAUGGAGUUGCUAGUAACCGCGGGUCAGCUACACCGCGGUGAAUACGUUCCCGGGCCUUGUACACACCG